Molecule: transfer RNA, 71 nt
Filed under: Marseillevirus LCMAC202
Lineage: Varidnaviria; Bamfordvirae; Nucleocytoviricota; Megaviricetes; Pimascovirales; Marseilleviridae
Description: tRNA-Asn
Rfam family: tRNA
About the family: Transfer RNA (tRNA) molecules are approximately 80 nucleotides in length. Their secondary structure includes four short double-helical elements and three loops (D, anti-codon, and T loops).
Source: RNAcentral
GGCCCUGUAACUUAGUGGCAAAGCGGCUGACCGUUGAUCAGUAGACCGAGGUUCGAUUCCUCGCGGGGCCU